GAGUUUGGUCCUGGCUCAGAUUCAUCGCUGGGGGCGCGCUUGACACAUACUGGUUCGUCGGGCAAAGUGGCUCGCUCGCAUGAGUACAGCGUCGUGCCGGUGAGUAACACGUGGGUAAUCUACCUCUUAGUGGGGAAUAACCCUGGGAAACCGGGGCUAAUACCGCAUAAGCCUGAGAAGGGAAAGCAGCAAUGCGCUGAGAGAGGAGUCCGCGGCCGAUUAGCUAGUUGGCAGGGUAAAAGCCUACCAAGGCUGUGAUCGGUAGCCGGCCUGAGAGGGCACACGGCCACACUGGCACUGAAACACGGGCCAGACUCCUACGGGAGGCAGCAGUGGGGAAUCUUGCACAAUGGGGGAAACCCUGAUGCAGCGACGCCGCGUGAGCGAUGAAGCCCUUCGGGGUGUAAAGCUCUUUCGGCAGGGAAGAUUAUGACGGUACCUGCAGAAGCAGCUGCGGCUAACUACGUGCCAGCAGCCGCGGUAAUACGUAGGCAGCAAGCGUUGUUCGGAGUUACUGGGCGUAAAGGGUGUGUAGGCGGCCUAUUAAGUUCCGUGUGAAAUCUCCCGGCUCAACCGGGAGGGUGCGCGGAAUACUGACGGGCUAGAGUGCGGGAUGGGAGAGUAGAAUUCCUGGUGUAGCGGUGAAAUGCGCAGAUAUCAGGAGGAACACCAAUAGCGAAGGCAGCUCGCUGGGACGGUACUGACGCUAAGGCGCGAAAGCGUGGGGAGCGAACAGGAUUAGAUACCCUGGUAGUCCACGCUGUAAACGAUGGGCACUAGGUGUCCGGGGUAUUGACCCCCUGGGUGCCGCAGCUAACGCAUUAAGUGCCCCGCCUGGGGAGUACGGUCGCAAGAUUAAAACUCAAAGGAAUUGACGGGGGCCCGCACAAGCGGUGGAGCAUGUGGUUCAAUUCGACGCAACGCGAAGAACCUUACCUGGGCUAGACAACGGUGGACCGUCCUAGAAAUAGGAUUUUCCCUUCGGGGACCGCCGGUUCAGGUGCUGCAUGGCUGUCGUCAGCUCGUGCCGUGAGGUGUUGGGUUAAGUCCCGCAACGAGCGCAACCCUCGUCCUUAGUUGCCACCAUUCAGUUGGGCACUCUAGGGAGACUGCCGGCGUUAAGCCGGAGGAAGGUGGGGACGACGUCAAGUCAGUAUGGCCCUUACGGCCUGGGCUGCACACGUACUACAAUGCCCAGCACAGAACGAUCCGAGACCGCAAGGUGGAGGAAAUCACUAAAACUGGGCCCAGUUCAGAUUGGAGUCUGCAACUCGACUCCAUGAAGCCGGAAUCGCUAGUAAUGGCGUAUCAGCUACGACGCCGUGAAUACGUUCCCGGGCCUUGUACACAC
Molecule: ribosomal RNA, 1351 nt
Filed under: uncultured bacterium
Lineage: Bacteria
Description: bacterial SSU rRNA
Rfam family: Bacterial small subunit ribosomal RNA
Source: RNAcentral